GACGAACGCUGGCGGCGUGCUUAACACAUGCAAGUCGAACGGAAAGGCCCUGCUUUUGUGGGGUGCUCGAGUGGCGAACGGGUGAGUAACACGUGAGUAACCUGCCCUUGACUUUGGGAUAACUUCAGGAAACUGGGGCUAAUACCGGAUAGGAGCUCCUGCUGCAUGGUGGGGGUUGGAUAGUUUCGGCGGUUGGGGAUGGACUCGCGGCUUAUCAGCUUGUUGGUGGGGUAGUGGCUUACCAAGGCUUUGACGGGUAGCCGGCCUGAGAGGGUGACCGGCCACAUUGGGACUGAGAUACGGCCCAGACUCCUACGGGAGGCAGCAGUGGGGAAUAUUGCACAGUGGGCGGAAGCCUGAUGCAGCAACGCCGCGUGCGGGAUGACGGCCUUCGGGUUGUAAACCGCUUUCGCCUGUGACGAAGCGUGAGUGACGGUAAUGGGUAAAGAAGCACCGGCUAACUACGUG
Molecule: ribosomal RNA, 468 nt
Filed under: uncultured bacterium
Lineage: Bacteria
Description: partial 16S ribosomal RNA
Rfam family: Bacterial small subunit ribosomal RNA
Source: RNAcentral